AUGAUGUUGCUAAAAAGAACAUUAUUUUGUGUAUUUGGUGUAAUGAAAUUUGUUUAGCACUUCGGUGCCAUGACGUAAAGUCCCGUUUCACGGCGUUGGAUAGCAAGCUUGUCCCCGGCCUCUGGCUGGUGUGGACAGCGUCCUGUAUAUUCCUACAUCUUCCCAGAGCCCUUUGGGCCAUUACUGGGGAGGUAAACCAUGCAGUGCACAUGU
RNAcentral lists this small nucleolar RNA (213 nucleotides) under Sinocyclocheilus anshuiensis. RNAcentral's name for it is "Small nucleolar RNA SNORA73 family (ENSSANG00000020696.1)". It matches the Rfam family "Small nucleolar RNA SNORA73 family". Rfam says of the family: U17 (SNORA73A and SNORA73B) also known as E1 belongs to the H/ACA class of small nucleolar RNAs (snoRNAs). Vertebrate U17 is intron-encoded and ranges in length from 200-230 nucleotides, longer than most snoRNAs. It is one of the most abundant snoRNAs in human cells and is essential for the cleavage of pre-rRNA within the 5' external transcribed spacer (ETS). Lineage: Eukaryota; Metazoa; Chordata; Actinopteri; Cypriniformes; Cyprinidae. The record is from Rfam by way of RNAcentral.